RNAcentral lists this ribosomal RNA (603 nucleotides) under Salmonella enterica. RNAcentral's name for it is "partial 23S ribosomal RNA". It matches the Rfam family "Bacterial large subunit ribosomal RNA", at positions 648 to 1251 of the family's 2925-position model. Lineage: Bacteria; Pseudomonadati; Pseudomonadota; Gammaproteobacteria; Enterobacterales; Enterobacteriaceae. The record is from RNAcentral.
AACCGAAUAGGGGAGCCGGAGGGAAACCGAGUCUUAAUUGGGCGUUAAGUUGCAGGGUAUAGACCCGAAACCCGGUGAUCUAGCCAUGGGCAGGUUGAAGGUUGGGUAACACUAACUGGAGGACCGAACCGACUAAUGUUGAAAAAUUAGCGGAUGACCUGUGGCUGGGGGUGAAAGGCCAAUCAAACCGGGAGAUAGCUGGUUCUCCCCGAAAGCUAUUUAGGUAGCGCCUCGUGAAUUCAUCUCCGGGGGUAGAGCACUGUUUCGGCUAGGGGGCCAUCCCGGCUUACCAACCCGAUGCAAACUGCGAAUACCGGAGAAUGUUAUCACGGGAGACACACGGCGGGUGCUAACGUCCGUCGUGAAGAGGGAAACAACCCAGACCGCCAGCUAAGGUCCCAAAGUCAUGGUUAAGUGGGAAACGAUGUGGGAAGGCCCAGACAGCCAGGAUGUUGGCUUAGAAGCAGCCAUCAUUUAAAGAAAGCGUAAUAGCUCACUGGUCGAGUCGGCCUGCGCGGAAGAUGUAACGGGGCUAAACCAUGCACCGAAGCUGCGGCAGCGACGCUGAUGCGUUGUUGGGUAGGGGAGCGUUCUGUAAGCCUG